RNAcentral lists this small RNA (812 nucleotides) under Rattus norvegicus (Norway rat). RNAcentral's name for it is "uncharacterized LOC108348753". The record is from RNAcentral. Lineage: Eukaryota; Metazoa; Chordata; Mammalia; Rodentia; Muridae.
AAGAGACAUGUUAAUGCAGCCUGCUAAUGUCUUAUAUUGACUACCCAUGUGUUCUUAAUUCCUAACCAAGAUGGUUCAGUGUAGGGUACACAUCUCAAACAUAUUGAAUAAUGAAGAGGAACAGCAACUUUGACCAAGAGGAGACACUUAUUUGUAAUGAUAUGUCACCCUACAAGUCUUCCAUUCAAGUCUGGAGGCACAAAAGAGAAGACUCUCCAUUGUUUCAGAGAGUAAUUGUCUCGUUGAAGAUAAGGAGCUUGGAUCAGGAAGGAUAGCUACUACUGGCGUUCUGCUGGAAAGGAGAUACGACCACGAAAGCAUGUGAUGGACAUCUAGGUUGUUUUCAGUUUCUGUCUCUUAUGAAUAAAGCUCCUAUGAACAGAGAUUUAAAAAAAGUAAUGGCAACAAGUCUAUAGCACAGAAACCUUGCUUCCCAAGGCAGCAGUGAGACAGAGAGACUGGAUCUGGAUCGUUCUUUUGAAAACUCCAAUCCUCCAAAUCCCCUCUAGAUGCGUCUGAAUUCAACCCAGCUCUGUUUAAAAUGUGCAACUGAAUAUCUUCCUGUGUAUGACACUCAUGAAGCCAGCACUACAAUCAAGAUAAUAAAAUCCAUCACCUGUAAAGUUUCCUGGUGCUCACUCACAUGUGCCUGAUCUCCUCCUGCUCAUGGACGACCAACUGCUGAUUGCUCUCCGUUACAACUUCUUAGCAUUUUGAAUGCUUGGGUGUUUGACAGACAUGGUACUCAUCUCAUCAUGGCUUUUAAUUGUAUUUAUUUAGAGAAAAUUAAUGUUGAGCUUUACUUACCAAAU